UGGGGAAUUUUCCGCAAUGGGCGCAAGCCUGACGGAGCGACGCCGCGUGGAGGAAGAAGUCUUUCGGGAUGUAAACUCCUUUCAGCAGGGACGAAACAAAUGACGGUACCUGCAGAAGAAGCAUCGGCUAACUACGUGCCAGCAGCCGCGGUAAUACGUAGGAUGCAAGCGUUGUUCGGAAUUACUGGGCGUAAAGAGUACGUAGGCGGUAAAAUAAGUCUGCUAUUAAAGACCGGGGCUUAACUUCGGGAGUGUAGUGGAAACUGUUUUGCUAGAGGACAAUAGAGGAAGUCGGAAUUCUCAGUGUAGCGGUGAAAUGCGUAGAUAUUGGGAAGAACACCAGUGGCGAAAGCGGACUUCUGGGUUGUUACUGACGCUGAGGUACGAAAGCGUGGGGAGCAAACGG
This 406-nucleotide ribosomal RNA is filed under the name uncultured bacterium. RNAcentral's name for it is "bacterial SSU rRNA". It matches the Rfam family "Bacterial small subunit ribosomal RNA", at positions 355 to 775 of the family's 1533-position model. The record is from RNAcentral.